GACGAAGGACCCAAGCGUUAUCCGGAUUCAUUGGGUUUAAAGGGUGCGUAGGCGGGUUGAUAAGUCAGUGGUGAAAGCCUGCAGCUUAACUGCAGAACUGCCAUUGAUACUGUCGAUCUUGAAUGUGUUUGAUGUGGGCGGAAUAUGACAUGUAGCGGUGAAAUGCUUAGAUAUGUCAUAGAACACCGAUUGCGAAGGCAGCUCACAAAGCCACUAUUGACGCUGAGGCACGAAAGCGUGGGGAUCAAACAGGAUUAGAAACCCCCGUAGUCC
Molecule: ribosomal RNA, 273 nt
Filed under: uncultured bacterium
Lineage: Bacteria
Description: partial 16S ribosomal RNA
Rfam family: Bacterial small subunit ribosomal RNA
Source: RNAcentral